AAAUCUAUGAAAUUUUAACACAAGGUUUAUGACCACAAAAGAACGGUUGGGAUUGAUUUUGGGAGUUUUGGUUUCAACAGUUUAGGAAUUAGGGGCCAAAAAGGGCCCAAAUAAGCAUUAUUCUUGGUUUUCGCACAAUAACUUUAGUUUAAGUAAAUAGAAAUCAAUGAAAUUUAAACACAAUGUUAAUGACUACAAAAGGAAGGUUGGUAUUGAUUUUGGGAGUUUAGGUCCCAACAGUUUAGGAAUAAGGGGCCAAAAAGGGACCCAAAUAAGCAUUUUUCUUGGUUUUCGCACCAUAACGUUAGUAUAAGUAAAUAGAAAUCCAUGAAAUUUAAACACAAGGUUUAUGACCAUAAAAGGAAGGUUGGUAUUGAUUUUGGGAGUUUUGGUCCCAA
This 398-nucleotide long non-coding RNA is filed under the name Mytilus galloprovincialis (Mediterranean mussel). The record is from RNAcentral. Lineage: Eukaryota; Metazoa; Mollusca; Bivalvia; Mytilida; Mytilidae.